RNAcentral lists this ribosomal RNA (3879 nucleotides) under Triticum aestivum (bread wheat). RNAcentral's name for it is "partial small subunit ribosomal RNA". Lineage: Eukaryota; Viridiplantae; Streptophyta; Magnoliopsida; Poales; Poaceae. The record is from RNAcentral.
AUGCGACUAGCCGCCAUGGAGACCUCCCCUCAUCUAAAGCUCUUCACGCUUGCCCUGCUACUAGCCUCGAUUCCCCACGCCAUGGCAGCACCACCCCCAUCCCUCCUGGAAGAACAGGCAGGCGCCCUCCUUGCCUGGAAAGCCACCAUACAGAGCCCCCCAGCCCAGCUCCAGUCUUGGGGAAACACCACAACACGGCCAUGCGGCUGGUACGGCAUCAAGUGCGGCAAGCAUCCAGCGAGGAACCAGGAGGUGGUGAUCACCGAGAUCACUCUUCGGGGGUUGCGGCUGAGGGCGAGGCUAGAGGCCCUCAACUUCACGGCGUUGCAUACUCUCACGAGUAUCCGACUUCCCUACAAUCAGAUAAGAGGCCCCUUUCCACCCGCUUUAGCAUCAUCCUUGCCAAACCUGCGGCACCUACUGCUCCAGGGGAAUAACAUUUCCGGUGAAAUACCAUGCCAAAUAAAACACCUAGAGAGUCUAGUGGGGCUGAACUUGUCAAAAAACCACUUGUCUAGUCAAAUACCCAUAGAAGUAGGAUACCUAAAGAAACUGAUCAGGCUAGAUUUUUUCAGCAACAACCUCACAGGCCCCAUUCCAAAAAGUCUAGUGAAUUGUACUAAACUCACUAUCUUGCACCUAUCGGCUAAUCAACUUUCUGGUUGCAUUCCUCCGGAAGUAGGUUACCUGGUGAAUUUACAACGGCUGGAUCUUAGCAACAACACACUCAUAGGUUCCAUUCCUGAUACCUUUAGAAAUUUGACAAAGCUCACUACCUUGUACCUACAUACUAACCAACUUUCUAGGUGUAUUCCCCCAGAACUAGGUUACUUGAUGAAUCUAGAAAAGUUGGAUCUUAGCAUAAACAAACUCAUGGGUCCCAUCCCCCAUGCCUUUGGAAAUUUGACCAAACUCACUACCUUAUACCUAAGGGGUAACCAACUCUCCGGCUAUAUUCCUCGAAAACUAGGCUAUCUUGUGAAUCUAGAAGGUUUGGGUCUUGGCAGAAACAAACUCGUGGGUUCCAUCCCCGGUGCCUUUGAAAAUUUGACAAAGCUCACUGGUUUGUACCUAUGGGAUAAUCAACUCUCCGGAUAUAUUCCUCGAGAACUAGGUUCCCUAUUGAAUCUAGAAGACUUUGAACUUCAACACAAUCAACUCAUGGGUUGCAUCCCCAAUAUGUUUGGAAAUUUGACCAAGCUCACUACAUUGCUCCUAUGGGGUAAUCAAUUCUCCGGGGGCAUUCCUCGAGAACUAGGUCACUUGGUGAAUCUGGAGAGCUUGGACCUUAGUGCAAACAAACUCAUGGGUUCCAUCCCCAAUGCCUUUGGAAAUUUGACCAAGCUCCCUAUCUUGAACCUAUUUAAUAACCAACUCUCCGGACAUGUUCCUCGAGAACUAGGUUCCCUGGUAAAUCUAGAAGUGUUGGGUCUUAACAACAACACACUGAUGGGUUCCAUCCCCAAUACCUUUGGAAAUUUGACCAAGCUCACUAGCUUGCUCCUAUGGGGUAACCAAUUCUCAGGGGGCAUUCCUCAAGAACUAGGUCACUUGGUGAAUCUGGAAAGCUUGGACCUUAGUGCAAACAAACUCAUGGGUUCCAUCCCCAAUGCCUUUGGAAAUUUGACCAAGCUCCCUACCUUGCAAUUAUGGCGUAACCAACUUUCCGGUUGUAUUCCUCGAGAGCUAGGUUCCCUUGUGAGUCUAGAAGACUUGGACCUUAGCACAAACAAACUCACUGGUUCCAUCCCUAAUACAUUAGGAAAUUUGACCAAGCUCACUACUUUAUACCUCAAUGAUAAUCAGUUCUACGGGCAUGUUCCAAAAGAAACUGGUAGCUUAAUGAAUCUCAAAUAUCUACAAAUUGAUGGUAACAAUCUCUCUGGUCCAUUGCCACCUGAUUUGUGCGCUGGUGGCAUGCUCAAGAGAUUAACUGCACAUGGAAACAAUCUCAACGGACCUCUGCCAUCAAGUUUAGUAAAUUGCAAAAGCCUAGUUAGAGUUCGUCUUGAAAGCAAUAAAAUUGAAGGAGAUAUUUCUGAGAUGGGAGUUUAUCCAAAUCUGGUCUACAUAGAUAUGAGCUCAAAUAAAUUGUUUGGUCAAUUAUCUUAUCACUGGGGAGGAUGUCAUAAUCUUACAAUGCUAAGAAUCUCAAACAACAACCUUGCCGGGGAAAUACCGACAAGUUUGGGGCAACUAUCUGGACUAAGGAUACUUGAUCUUUCGUCAAACAAGCUUGAAGGAGAGAUUCCAAGUGCACUAGGCAAUCUAAGAGAAUUGUUCAACCUGAGCCUCGCGGUCAAUUUGUUCCAUGGUAGCAUUCCACGAGAAAUUGGUGCAAUGUCGAGUUUGGAAUUACUGGAUUUGUCAUCAAAUAACCUUAAUGGUUUGGCGCAAGACUCAAUCAAGAAUUGUUUGAGGCUUCGCCUUUUGAAGUUGAAUAACAAUAACUUCAAAGGAAACAUCCCCGCCGAGCUAGGCUUAUUGCGCAACCUACAUGACCUAUUGGAUUUAAGUGAAAAUUCAUUUACUGGGGCAAUACCAAGCCAACUUAGUGGUUUGGUCAUGCUAGAUACUCUUAAUCUGUCACACAAUGAACUUAAUGGCUCCAUCCCGUCAUCAUUUCAAUAUAUGAGAAGCUUGACAACCAUUGAUCUAUCUUACAAUGAAUUGGAGGGGCCGGUACCGGAUAGUAAGGUCUUCCAAGGAGCUUCAGUCCAGCAGUUCAUGCAUAAUAAGAUGUUAUGUGGUGUGGUGAAAGGAUUGCCCCCUUGCAAUAGUGCAAUUCAGAGCAGAGGGGGUAGGGAGGGAUACAAAAUACUUGUAUUAGCCACCGUUCCUGCCCUUAUAUCUCUUGUUGUUGUUGCGGUGCUAUUGAUGUUUUGUCAUGAAAGGAAGAAACCCAAGGAAACGAACACUGAUAAAGUAACGCAAGCAAUUACCUUCUCUAUUUGGAGUGUUGAUGGGGCAAAUGUUUUCAAGCAAAUCAUUGAAGCAACCAACAAUUUUAGCGAGAUGCACUGCAUAGGAAUUGGGGGUUAUGGAUCUGUCUACAAAGCUAAACUUGCAACACGUGAAAUAUUUGCAGUGAAGAAGAUACAUAUGAUAGAAGAUGGGUGUUGCUUGAAUGAGACGGUAUUCAAUCGUGAAAUCGAGUCACUGAUGAAGAUUCGUCAUCGAAACAUCAUAAAAUUGUUUGGGUAUUGUUCGUCUAGCCAAGGUAGAUUCCUUAUCUAUGAAUACAUGGAGGGAGGAGACCUGGCAAAAACACUGAAGGACAAUAAAAGGGCAAUUGAAUUGGACUGGAGAAGGCGGAUACAUAUCAUGUUGGAUGUGGUUCAUGCAUUGGCAUACAUGCAUCAUGAUUGCUCAACACCAAUAGUCCAUCGAGAUAUAACGAGCAACAACAUUUUGCUUAAUCUAGAAUUUAGAGCAUGCAUAUCUGACUUCGGUACAGCAAAAAUUCUCAAUAUUGAUGGCCGAAAUCACACAAGGCUUGCUGGGACGAAAGGCUAUCUUGCCCCAGAGCUAGCAUAUACAGAAAAUAUGACGGAGAAAUGUGAUGUAUACAGCUUUGGAGUGCUUGUUUUGGAGCUAUUUAUGGGAUCUCAUCCAGGCGAUUUUCUCUCAUCCCUCUCGUUGGCCAACAAGAUCAAUGUUGUGUGCCUGCAGGAUUUGCUGGACCCCAGGCUUGUGAUUCCAGAUGCUGAGACUGCUAGAAGAAUAUAUUGCAUGCUUAGUGUCGCAGCUCAGUGUCUGGAGCCACGUCCAUCACACAGGCCAACAGCACGACAAGCCAGUGAUGAGCUAUCUACGACUAAAGCUUGUGGAGAUCAUGUUGAUUAUUUGCAUGCUGGUAUUACCUUUCCUGCAUUGUAG